AAUCGUUAAUUACUGCCAUUUCUGAGAAAACCGGGUACAACUAGUACAUUUUACUAGUUUGUUCAUUACGGUCGAUAUUGGACUGAUCCGACGGUCAUCGCAAGAUAUUCUUUUUACGCCAUCGCUUCCCGUCAUAGUCGCGAUGACCAUCGCCUUCCCCCGUUAUUAGUGUGAGCCAUUACAGCAUUUACCAAUGUCUUCCGGUUUCCGUGCACUAACGGCAGUCAUCGGAUUUAAGACUUGUGCAGGCUUUCAGAUUUUAUGGAAAGCUGAUCGAAAUUCGAAGUUUAUCUGGAAAUACUAAUAUUGCUAAUACGGAUUGCUUCCGGGUAUAAACGGACGAACUUUCCCCAUUCGUUGCAAUAGCACCACCACAGCACUGCAUCAAACACUUCCGGGCCUGAGAAGACAAUCGUAGGAUGCCUGACCUGAGACUGAUCCAAUCUCUUCUUCUGUAAUUCACGGAUGAACCUCGUACAGAAGUGGUCGCCGUCUCAUCUGGUUUAUUACCAAUAUUCCGAUGCAGCAAGGGGGUUGAAGGAAACUUGAGCACCUCAGCAAUUGUAAUGGCUUGCAAUACGAAACCUGAUACAUUGCCGAAAAUCGCCUUUAAUGAAUUGAAUCGAGGACCAAUUAUUUUGGUUGCCAAGGUGGUGCAUAUAUGCAGUACCAUGGUUAGAGUGCAUCCCAAAAUCUUCAAAGGCAGCGGACCAAGAGCCCUCGGCCAAAGGGCGUGGGGCCCAUGGAAUGCAGAAGUUCGCUAAAUCAUUAGCGACUACUACGGCUAAAAAGCCCUCCGAGGCACCGUUGGAAGCAGGAAUUAACACUUCAGGGUUCAGGUACUUUCAUCGCAUGAACCGGGUAUCGGCUCAUUGGAUCGAUCGAUAAGCUUACAUUCUAGUCCCCUGAAGAGGAAGACGGUGCGGCCUCGGGUGCGGCGAGAUCAUAAAAUUUUGUUGAAUAUUGAAUUAUUAUUGCUAUUGCAUUUUAAAAUGGUUUAUGAAUACUCAAAUAAAUUUCAACAAUUAUA
Armigeres subalbatus is the source of this 1030-nucleotide long non-coding RNA. RefSeq lists it as uncharacterized. The record is from RefSeq and is a predicted model, not a curated record. NCBI's taxonomy places the organism in Eukaryota, Metazoa, Arthropoda, Insecta, Diptera, Culicidae. The transcript has 3 exons.